RNAcentral lists this ribosomal RNA (253 nucleotides) under uncultured bacterium. RNAcentral's name for it is "partial 16S ribosomal RNA". It matches the Rfam family "Bacterial small subunit ribosomal RNA", at positions 524 to 776 of the family's 1533-position model. The record is from RNAcentral.
GACAGAGGGUGCAAACGUUGUCCGGAAUUACUGGGCGUAAAGGGCGCGUAGGCGGCCUUAUAAGUCAUGUGUGAAAGCUCUGGGCUCAACCCAGGAAUUGCAUGUGAUACUGUAAGGCUUGAGUUCGGUAGAGGAGGGCGGAAUUCCAGGUGUAGCGGUGAAAUGCGUAGAUAUCUGGAGGAACACCCGUGGCGAAGGCGGCUCUCUGGUCCGAAACUGACGCUGAGGUGCGAAAGCUAGGGUAGCAAACAGG